UACGAACCGUCCAAACGUUACUCGGAAUUACUGGGCUUAAAGGGUGCGUAGGCCGCGCGGAGGGUGGGAUGUGAAAUCCCCCGGCUCAACCGGGGAAUAGCGUCCCAAACCGCCGUGCUCGAGGGAGACAGAGGUGAGCGGAACUGAUGGUGGAGCGGUGAAAUGCGUUGAUAUCAUCAGGAACACCAGUGGCGAAAGCGGCUCACUGGGUCUUUCCUAACGCUGAGGCACGAAAGCGUGGGGAGCAAACAGG
This 253-nucleotide ribosomal RNA is filed under the name uncultured bacterium. RNAcentral describes it as "partial 16S ribosomal RNA". It matches the Rfam family "Bacterial small subunit ribosomal RNA", at positions 524 to 776 of the family's 1533-position model. The record is from RNAcentral.